This 113-nucleotide ribosomal RNA is filed under the name Pteropus alecto (black flying fox). The record is from RNAcentral. Lineage: Eukaryota; Metazoa; Chordata; Mammalia; Chiroptera; Pteropodidae.
GUCUAUGCCACCUUGAAAAAUCCCGAUCCUGUCUGGUCUUGGAAGCUAAGCAGGGUCAGGCCUGGUUAGUACUUGGAUGGGAGACCACCUAGGAAGACCAGGUGUUAUAGGCA